Molecule: ribosomal RNA, 468 nt
Filed under: uncultured bacterium
Lineage: Bacteria
Description: partial 16S ribosomal RNA
Rfam family: Bacterial small subunit ribosomal RNA
Source: RNAcentral
GACGAACGCUGGCGGCGUGCUUAACACAUGCAAGUCGAACGGAAAGGCCCUGCUUUUGUGGGGUGCUCGAGUGGCGAACGGGUGAGUAACACGUGAGUAACCUGCCCUGGACUUUGGGAUAACUUCAGGAAACUGGGGCUAAUACCGGAUAGGAGCUCCUGCUGCAUGGUGGGGGUUGGAAAGUUUCGGCGGUAGUGGAUGGACUCGCGGGUUAUCAGCUUGUUGGUGGAGUAGUGGCUUACCAAGGCUUUGACGGGUAGCCGGCCUGAGAGGGUGAACAGCCACAUUGGGACUGAGAGACGGACCAGAGGCCUACGGGAGGCAGCAGGGGGGAAUAUUGCACAAUGGGCGGAAGCCUGUGGCAGAAACGCUGCGUGCGGGAUGACGGCCUUCGGGUUGUAAACCGCAUUAGCCUGUGACGAAGCUGGAGUGACGGUAAUAAGUGAAGAAGCACCGGCUAACUACGUG